CCUACGGGAGGCAGCAGUGAGGAAUAUUGCACAAUGGACGCAACCCUGAUCCAGCAACGCCGCGUGGGUGAAGGCGCGUCUCGGCGCUUAAAGCUCUGUCAGCGGGGAAGUAGAAAGACGGUACCCGACCAAGAAGACCCGGCUAACUCCGUGCCAGCAGCCGCGGUAAGACGGAGGAUUCAAGCGUUAUCCGGAUGUAUUGGGUUUAAGGGGUGCGUAGGCGGUCGGAUAAGUUAGAGGUGAAAUCCCGAGGCUCAACUUCGGAAUUGCCUCUGAUACUGUUCGGCUAGAGAGUAGUUGCGGUAGGCGGAAUGUAUGGUGUAGCGGUGAAAUGCUUAGAGAUCAUACAGAACACCGAUUGCGAAGGCAGCUUACCAAGCUACUUCUGACGUUGAGGCACGAAAGCGUGGGGAGCAAACAGGAUUAGAUACCCUAGUAGUC
Molecule: ribosomal RNA, 441 nt
Filed under: uncultured bacterium
Lineage: Bacteria
Description: partial 16S ribosomal RNA
Rfam family: Bacterial small subunit ribosomal RNA
Source: RNAcentral